UCCCUGGUGGCUCAGACGGUAAAGAAUCCGCCUGCAAUGCAGGAGACCUGGGUUCGAUCCCAGUCUUGGGAA
Molecule: transfer RNA, 72 nt
Filed under: Bos taurus (domestic cattle)
Lineage: Eukaryota; Metazoa; Chordata; Mammalia; Artiodactyla; Bovidae
Also listed under: 1 other name
Rfam family: tRNA
About the family: Transfer RNA (tRNA) molecules are approximately 80 nucleotides in length. Their secondary structure includes four short double-helical elements and three loops (D, anti-codon, and T loops). Further hydrogen bonds mediate the characteristic L-shaped molecular structure. tRNAs have two regions of fundamental functional importance: the anti-codon, which is responsible for specific mRNA codon recognition, and the 3' end, to which the tRNAs corresponding amino acid is attached (by aminoacyl-tRNA synthetases). tRNAs cope with the degeneracy of the genetic code in two manners: having more than one tRNA (with a specific anti-codon) for a particular amino acid; and 'wobble' base-pairing, i.e. permitting non-standard base-pairing at the 3rd anti-codon position.
Source: Rfam by way of RNAcentral